Molecule: long non-coding RNA, 1158 nt
Filed under: Lactuca sativa (garden lettuce)
Lineage: Eukaryota; Viridiplantae; Streptophyta; Magnoliopsida; Asterales; Asteraceae
Description: long non-coding RNA (LSAT_LNC000199)
Source: RNAcentral
UCAAAUCUCCCAUUUCAAGAAACGAACCACCAACUUAUGUUUGAAGAGAAUUGCAAGAAAAGGUUAUUAAAGAAACAAAGUAAUGAGUUCAAAAUAACAGGGGAUUACCUCUGAUUUGGAAAUCUUAGCGAAUGUUGCAACCAUUUGUCGGUUGAAGUUUUUUUCUCAACUUCUCAUGGUGGUGAGGAACCCAACAAUCUAUUUUAAUAUUGCAAAGAAACUAUAAAUCAUCUAAACAUUUUAAGCUAAUUUUGGAAAGAUGAAGAAGAUGCAAACGAAUUCUAGAUUCAGUAAAAAGAUUUAACCUGUGAUUUUUUUUUAUUUGUAGACUAAUAGAACCACCCUAAUGAAAUGUUAGGGAAAAGGAAACAAUGCCAGUCUUAAGUUUUACAUUCCAUCUGCUUCUAAUAACCCCUUAGUUGGUGCACAAAUCACUCAUGGUCCUCAUCCAUCGAGGUUUUACAAUCGACAACUUUGAAAACAGGUGACAACUAAAGUUGCAGUGAGAUGAAAAAAAAUAAGCCUACCGAUAGCAGAAGCUUCAUAAAGAUGGUGGUGAUGGCGGUGUUGAAGAAAUGCUUAACUUCAUCAACGACCGUUAGGAAGAAGAUGGAUGGAGUGGCCACCAAGUUUCUAUCGAUUGGGGUAAAAAGAACAUCACAACAAAUAACCCUCACUCCAACCAUCAUAAAAACAAAAACUAACACUAAAUCAAAAAGACGACCCUGAAUUUCAACCGGAGGAGGCUCAGGAAAAAGGGGUGAAACACCGGGAUGGCUGCAAACACCGGUUGCAAUAUCCGACCGCAAUGCCUUCCGAGUUGCCCCGCCAAAAUACAAACCUCAAUUUCACCCGAUACUCGAUAACACAAAAUCUUUUCAAAAAUAAAACUCAUCAUCGCCUCAAUACUCCCCCUUGUGAAAGAAGUCCUCUAUUUAGAGUCGGCACGACACUAAACAGAGAAAGAUGCUUGAUUGGUUGCAGCUCCUUUUCAGUCUAUUUCCAGCCAACAAAAGCCAUAACAAAUUAUGUUUCCCUUAUUCCACCUCUCUAUUUCUUUCUAUUCCUAAAAAAACAUUGUACAAAAAUAAAGGUUUUGACAAGGUGUAUGAAGUUUUGAACUUUUUAAAUAAAAAAAAUAACCUUAUCAACUGCAUA